GCUUUUUUUUCUAAAAAAUGUAUAAAAAAAAAAAAGUCUGAAAAUAUGUAUAAAAAAAAAAAAAGUCAAUAGUAUAGCAUGUUAGGUAUGUUAGGAAUGUUAGCCAAGAUAGUGCGUGAUGAAAAGAUUUCGUGAUAAGUCAGGAUGUUAGGUAUGUUAGGAAUGUUAGCUUAGUAUAGUGCGUGAUGAAAAAAGUCGUGUUAAAAAAAAAAAAAAAAAAA
Long non-coding RNA from Sebastes umbrosus (honeycomb rockfish), 221 nucleotides. RefSeq lists it as uncharacterized. The transcript is spliced from 3 exons. The record is from RefSeq and is a predicted model, not a curated record. NCBI's taxonomy places the organism in Eukaryota, Metazoa, Chordata, Actinopteri, Perciformes, Sebastidae.